GACGAACGCUGGCGGCGUGCUUAACACAUGCAAGUCGAACGGAAAGGCCCUGCUUUUGUGGGGUGCUCGAGUGGCGAACGGGUGAGUAACACGUGAGUAACCUGCCCUUGACUUUGGGAUAACUUCAGGAAACUGGGGCUAAUACCGGAUAGGAGCUCCUGCUGCAUGGUGGGGGUUGGAAAGUUUCGGCGGUUGGGGAUGGACUCGCGGCUUAUCAGCUUGUUGGUGGGGUAGUGGCUUACCAAGGCUUUGACGGGUAGCCGGCCUGAGAGGGUGACCGACCACAUUGGGACUGAGAUACGGCCCAGACUCCUCCGGGCGGCAGCAGUGGGGACUUUUGCACAGUGGGCGGAAGCCUGGUGCAGCAACGCCGCGUGCGGGAUGACGGCCUUCGGGUUGUAAACCGCUUUCGCCUGUGACGAAGCGUGAGUGACGGUAAUGGGUAAAGAAGCACCGGCUAACUACGU
This 467-nucleotide ribosomal RNA is filed under the name uncultured bacterium. RNAcentral describes it as "partial 16S ribosomal RNA". It matches the Rfam family "Bacterial small subunit ribosomal RNA", at positions 28 to 506 of the family's 1533-position model. The record is from RNAcentral.